RNAcentral lists this ribosomal RNA (480 nucleotides) under uncultured bacterium. RNAcentral's name for it is "partial 16S ribosomal RNA". It matches the Rfam family "Bacterial small subunit ribosomal RNA", at positions 28 to 523 of the family's 1533-position model. The record is from RNAcentral.
GACAAACGCUGGCGGCGUGCCUAAUACAUGCAAGUCGAACGACGAAAGCCUUCGGGCAAGUAAGAGUGGCGCACGGGCGAGGAACACGUAGAUAAUCUGCCCUUCAGUGGGGAAUAACUCUCCGAAAGGAGUGCUAAUCCCGCAUAAGACCACAAGCUCUGCGGAGCAAGGGGUUAAAGGAUUUAUUCGCUGAAGGAUGAGUCUACGUCCGAUUAGCUAGUUGGUGAGGUAAUGGCUUACCAAGGCAAUGAUCGGUAGAUGGUCUGAGAGGAUGAUCAUCCGCACUGGAACUGAGACACGGUCCAGACUCCUACGGGAGGCAGCAGUAGGGAAUAUUGCACAAUGGGGGAAACCCUGAUGCAGCAACGCCGCGUGAGUGAUGAAGGCUCUAGGGUCGUAAAGCUCUGUCGUAUGGGAAGAAAAAAAUGACGGUACUAUACAAGAAAGGACCGGCCAACUUCGUGCCAGCAGCCGCGGUAA